Molecule: ribosomal RNA, 1198 nt
Filed under: Campylobacter jejuni
Lineage: Bacteria; Pseudomonadati; Campylobacterota; Epsilonproteobacteria; Campylobacterales; Campylobacteraceae
Description: bacterial LSU rRNA
Rfam family: Bacterial large subunit ribosomal RNA
Source: RNAcentral
GGUAAAAAAAAGGUAAGCUACUAAGAGCGAAUGGUGGAUGCCUUGACUGGUAAAGGCGAUGAAGGACGUACUAGACUGCGAUAAGCUACGGGGAGCUGUCAAGAAGCUUUGAUCCGUAGAUUUCCGAAUGGGGCAACCCAAUGUAUAGAGAUAUACAUUACCUAUAUAGGAGCGAACGAGGGGAAUUGAAACAUCUUAGUACCCUCAGGAAAAGAAAUCAAUAGAGAUUGCGUCAGUAGCGGCGAGCGAAAGCGCAAGAGGGCAAACCCAGUGCUUGCACUGGGGGUUGUAGGACUGCAAUGUGCAAGAGCUGAGUUUAGCAGAACAUUCUGGAAAGUAUAGCCAUAGAGGGUGAUAGUCCCGUAUGCGAAAAACAAAGCUUAGCUAGCAGUAUCCUGAGUAGGGCGGGACACGAGGAAUCCUGUCUGAAUCCGGGUCGACCACGAUCCAACCCUAAAUACUAAUACCAGAUCGAUAGUGCACAAGUACCGUGAGGGAAAGGUGAAAAGAACUGAGGUGAUCAGAGUGAAAUAGAACCUGAAACCAUUUGCUUACAAUCAUUCAGAGCCCUAUGUAGCAAUACAGGGUGAUGGACUGCCUUUUGCAUAAUGAGCCUGCGAGUUGUGGUGUCUGGCAAGGUUAAGCAAACGCGAAGCCGUAGCGAAAGCGAGUCUGAAUAGGGCGCUUAGUCAGAUGCUGCAGACCCGAAACGAAGUGAUCUAUCCAUGAGCAAGUUGAAGCUAGUGUAAGAACUAGUGGAGGACUGAACCCAUAGGCGUUGAAAAGCCCCGGGAUGACUUGUGGAUAGGGGUGAAAGGCCAAUCAAACUUCGUGAUAGCUGGUUCUCUCCGAAAUAUAUUUAGGUAUAGCGUUGUGUCGUAAUAUAAGGGGGUAGAGCACUGAAUGGGCUAGGGCAUACACCAAUGUACCAAACCCUAUCAAACUCCGAAUACCUUAUAUGUAAUCACAGCAGUCAGGCGGCGAGUGAUAAAAUCCGUCGUCAAGAGGGAAACAACCCAGACUACCAGCUAAGGUCCCUAAAUCUUACUUAAGUGGAAAACGAUGUGAAGUUACUUAAACAACCAGGAGGUUGGCUUAGAAGCAGCCAUCCUUUAAAGAAAGCGUAAUAGCUCACUGGUCUAGUGAUUUUGCGCGGAAAAUAUAACGGGGCUAAAGUAAGUACCGAAGCUGUAGACUU